This 485-nucleotide ribosomal RNA is filed under the name uncultured bacterium. RNAcentral describes it as "bacterial SSU rRNA". It matches the Rfam family "Bacterial small subunit ribosomal RNA", at positions 28 to 508 of the family's 1533-position model. The record is from RNAcentral.
GACAAACGCUGGCGGCGUGCAUAAAACAUGCAAGUCGGACGAGCCAAUCCCCGCAAGGGGAAAGGCUAGUGGCGAACGGCUGAGUAACACGUAGGUGACCUGCCCUGAAGUGGGGGAUAACGACUCGAAAGAGUCGCUAAUACCGCAUGUGACCACCGAUUCGUUUUCGGUGCUCAAAGUCGUAAGACGCUUUAGGAGGGGCCUGCGGCGGAUUAGCUAGUUGGUGAGGUAAUGGCCCACCAAGGCUGCGAUCUGUAGCUGGUCUGAGAGGACGGCCAGCCACACUGGCACUGACACACGGGCCAGACUCCUACGGGAGGCAGCAGUGGGGAAUUUUGGGCAAUGGGCGAAAGCCUGACCCAGCAACGCCGCGUGAGGGAGGAAAUCCUUCGGGAUGUAAACCUCACAAGCAAGGGAAGAGAGCUGCGGGCUGAAUAAUCCCGCGGUACGACGGUACCUUGCGUAAGCCACGGCUAACUACGUGC